UUGAUUUUUGCUCGUCCUCGCCGUCGCCCUGAUGCUCUCGCGUGUUCUUGGGGCCGUCUUGUCCGGGUGUCUUCGUUCCUGCGACUCUCGGAGAAAGUGAGCGAGCGGUCGGUCGGUUUGGGUAACUUGUGCGUUCGCUUCUGUUACCUGCCUGCGUUUCGUGUUCGCGUCUGGGCGAUGGUUGCAAUAAUGAUCGGUUCUGGUUUCAAAAUUGGAGCAGUGUCAAAUCGCUCCCUCUGUUUCAUCACCUGCGUUGUCCAUCGGUUGUUUUCAGUUCCCAAAUGCAUGCGCCCUUGUGAUAAUCUGGUUGCCCUAUGUCGAUUCUUGUUCUACCGGCCGGCGUGUGUGCUCCCAUCCUAGAUGCAGAGAAUCUUGUUCUUGUCUGUUACGGUUGUUCUGAUGCUGUUCUUUUCAAUUGUUUAUUGUUACAUCAUGCUCUGCUUAUGUUGACACGAUUGACCGAUUGAUUGUUGUUUGUUGUUUGAAUGAUUGCCUUGAGAUGGAUUGUUGUUUGUUGUUUGAUUAAUUGUCUUGAGAUGGAUUGUUGCUUGUUGUUUGAUGCUUGAUUGCCUUGAGAAGAUACAAACCAUGUAGGCCAGUUGAUUGUUGUUUGUUGCCUUGAGAUGGUACAUGUUUACAUGGCAUGAUUGAUUACUGUUUGUGUAUGGUUAUUAAGGUUGAUUGCUGUUUGUUGAUUGAUUGAUUGUUGUUUGUUGAUUGAUUGAUUGUCGUUUGUUGAUUGAUUGCUGUUUGUUGAUUGGUAUCUGACUUUGGUAAUGGUAGUUCUUGAUCAUAGGUAACAAACCUAGUGCUAUUCUUUUUUCUGAACUUUUUUGUGAUUAUUAUGCCUUCACAUUGCACUGCUCCCAGAUCCAUAUCGACAUGCCCACGUUGUCUGAUGAGGAUAAAGAUGUAAGGAACUCCUCCCAAGAAUCUCUCAUGCUCCUUGUAUUAACUUGGUGACUAGAUUUACAUGUUAAAUUAUUAUUUUCGUGAAACUGGAGCUCAUUGCUGUAACCCAUUAUGACUUUAUGAGCGUGCACCACUUUCAGGUUAUGAAAAAAUGGGGAAAACAAGAUUGACUUCCUCUCUCUUUCGUAUGCAAGGAAUACAGAAGAUGUGCGCCAAGUUUGAACCAUUUUGAUGAGAUCCUGGAAGAAGCAGAUGGUAUAAUUCUGUGGAGGGCGUGCGUGUGUGCGUGUAGGAGUCUAGGUUGAGUCGGACUGUGGCUGGGCCUGCGAUCGUGUGGCGAGGCAGGCGGGAUGCAGCGGUAGCAUGAUGGCACCAGGUCUUGCGGAGGAGCUGGCUGCGCAUGUUCGAGGGAAGACCAGAUCGCCAUGGACUCCGUGAGGGCUACGUAUUGUUAGCUAUUAAGCCGGCUGUACGUUUGAGUCUGUUAGUGCAUGCGUGGGUGCUACGUCUCUGUUGGCUACAAAAAAGACUGUAAAAUCCUAGUCUGGUGUGGCGUUGUGCAUCCAGUUAAGAUAAUAGAAAAUGGGGCGUUUGAACGCCGGGGCGUUUGUUGCCGGGGCGUUGGUCGCCAGAAAAC
This is a long non-coding RNA of Triticum aestivum (bread wheat), 1549 nucleotides long. RefSeq lists it as uncharacterized. The transcript is spliced from 2 exons. Lineage: Eukaryota; Viridiplantae; Streptophyta; Magnoliopsida; Poales; Poaceae. The record is from RefSeq and is a predicted model, not a curated record.